GCGGUCGUGGCCGAGUGGUUAAGGCGUCUGACUUGAAAUCAGAUUCCCUCUGGGAGCGUAGGUUCGAACCCUACCGGCCGCG
This 82-nucleotide transfer RNA is filed under the name Pollicipes pollicipes. RNAcentral's name for it is "tRNA-Ser". It matches the Rfam family "tRNA". Rfam says of the family: Transfer RNA (tRNA) molecules are approximately 80 nucleotides in length. Their secondary structure includes four short double-helical elements and three loops (D, anti-codon, and T loops). The record is from RNAcentral. Lineage: Eukaryota; Metazoa; Arthropoda; Thecostraca; Pollicipedomorpha; Pollicipedidae.